GCAAGUCGAACGGUAACAUUUCUAGCUUGCUAGAAGAUGACGAGUGGCGGACGGGUGAGUAAUGCUUGGGAACUUGCCUUUGCGAGGGGGAUAACAGUUGGAAACGACUGCUAAUACCGCAUAAUGUCUUCGGACCAAACGGGGCUUCGGCUCCGGCGCAAAGAGAGGCCCAAGUGAGAUUAGCUAGUUGGUAAGGUAACGGCUUACCAAGGCGACGAUCUCUAGCUGUUCUGAGAGGAAGAUCAGCCACACCGGGACUGAGACACGGCCCAGACUCCUACGGGAGGCAGCAGUGGGGAAUAUUGCACAAUGGGGGAAACCCUGAUGCAGCCAUGCCGCGUGUGUGAAGAAGGCCUUCGGGUUGUAAAGCACUUUCAGUUGUGAGGAAAAGUUAGUAGUUAAUACCUGCUAGCCGUGAUGUUAACAACAGAAGAAGCACCGGCUAACUCCGUGCCAGCAGCCGCGGUAAUACGGAGGGUGCGAGCGUUAAUCGGAAUUACUGGGCGUAAAGCGCACGCAGGCGGUUUGUUAAGCUAGAUGUGAAAGCCCCGGGCUCAACCUGGGAUGGUCAUUUAGAACUGGCAGACUAGAGUCUUGGAGAGGGGAGUGGAAUUCCAGGUGUAGCGGUGAAAUGCGUAGAUAUCUGGAGGAACAUCAGUGGCGAAGGCGACUCCCUGGCCAAAGACUGACGCUCAUGUGCGAAAGUGUGGGUAGCGAACAGGAUUAGAUACCCUGGUAGUCCACACCGUAAACGCUGUCUACUAGCUGUGUGUGUCUUUAAGACGUGCGUAGCGAAGCUAACGCGCUAAGUAGACCGCCUGGGGAGUACGGCCGCAAGGUUAAAACUCAAAUGAAUUGACGGGGGCCCGCACAAGCGUGGAGCAUGGGGUUAAUUCGAUGCACGCGAAGCACCUUAACCUAACUUGACUUGCUGAGAAGUUACUAGAAGAUAGUUUCGUGG
Molecule: ribosomal RNA, 961 nt
Filed under: uncultured Gammaproteobacteria bacterium
Lineage: Bacteria; Pseudomonadati; Pseudomonadota; Gammaproteobacteria
Description: bacterial SSU rRNA
Rfam family: Bacterial small subunit ribosomal RNA
Source: RNAcentral